Molecule: non-coding RNA, 1513 nt
Organism: Paramuricea clavata
Lineage: Eukaryota; Metazoa; Cnidaria; Anthozoa; Malacalcyonacea; Plexauridae
Source: the annotation of a GenBank genome assembly
AAUACCCUUCUCUCCUACUUCGCAUACACAUCCUGAGUUUCUUUCUUGGUGUAAUUGGAUUGCGUGCCAACUUCGUCCGCGAUUGAAAAUGAAUUUUAACAGCAUCUGCAAUCAUACAAAAAUAAAUUUUCGAAAAAAGACGUUUUGCAAUACAUAGUCUGGUCAUUCGAACCACAUCUCACCACACAAGCCAGUAUCAAUGACCAACAUCAGGAUACGAGAUAGAUGGCCCCAUCACAAUUUUAGUUAACUUAAUUAAUUGUACAAUUAUAAAAAGCAUAUACACUUAGUGAAUUUUAAAUUUACUUUAUUGCAAUGGUAAAUCUGUGUGCAUUCAGACGACACAUCAGGACAUGAGCCAGAUUGGUACCAUCACAAGUUGGUUAUGUUUGAAUUGUUCCAAAUAUUUCAAGACACAUAUAGACGGCUUUGCUUUAGAAAAUGGUUUAGAAAUAUGCUAUGGCGGCUAUGCAAUGGCCAACAUGUGUGCAUCCAGACGACAAAUCAGGACAUGAGCCAGAUUAGCACCAUCACAAGUUGGUUAUGUUUGAAUUGUUCCAUAUAAUUCAAGACGCAUAUAUAUAGACGUCAUUGCUUUAGAAAAUAAUGGUUUAGAAAUACGCUAUGCAAUGGCCAACAUGUGUGCAUUCAGACGACACAUCAGGACACGAGCCAGAUUGUUCCAUUACAAUUUUAGCCAACUUAAUUCAGACGACACAUCAGGACACGAGCCAGAUUAGUACCAUCACAAGUUGGUUAUGACGUCAUCCCUUGGGUAUUUAAGAAGCUACGAUCGCAGUUUUAGAUCACCCCUAAUGAAGACACUAGACUGGAGUGUCGAAACGUUGGGUCUUGAUUACAAUUCGACUGCGCUUUGUAAUCAUUUAUUUAAACCAGAGUAGCGAGCGAAACAUGUAUGUUUGAAUUGUUCCACAUAAUUCAAGACGCAUAUAGACGUCUUUGCUUUAGAAAAUAAUGGUUUAGAAAUACGUUAUGCAAUGGCCAAUCUGUGUGCAUUCAGACGACACACCAGGACACGAGCCAGAUUAGUACCAUCACAAGCUGGUUAUGUUUGAAUUGUUCCAUAUAUUUCAAGACACAUAUAGACGUCUUUGCUUUAGAAAAUAAUAGUUUAGAAAUACGUUAUGCAAUGGUAAAUCUGUGUGCAUUCAGACGACACAUCAGGACACGAGCCAGAUUGUUCCAUUACAAUUUUAGUUAACUUAAUCUCGAACUUAUAAUUGGAUAAAUAUAAAAACAUAUACAUUUAGGGCAUUUUAAAUUUACUUUAUGCAAUGGUAAAUAUGUGUGCAUUCAGACGACACAUCAGGACACGAGCCAGAUUGGUACCAUCACAAGUUGGUUAUGUUUGAAUUGUUCCAUAUAAUUCAAGACGCAUAUAGACGUCUUUGCUUUAGAAACUAAUAGUUUAGAAAUACGUUAUGCAAUGGCCAACCUGUGUGCAUUCAGACGACACAUCAGGACACGAGCCAGAUUAGUACCAUCACAAAUU